GUGUGUGUGUGUGUUGUAAAUAAUUCCUAAGAUUUAUAUAUAGCGUUUUUCUAGGCACUCAAAAUGCUUUACAUUGUACAGCGGAGGAGGAGGGGGGUCUCCUCAACCACCACUAGUGUGUAACAUCCACCUGGAUGAUGUGAUGGAAGCCAUAGUGCUCCAGAACUCCCACCACACACCAGAUAUUAGUGGAGAGGAGAGAGUGAUGUAGCUAAUUCAGAGGCGGAGCUUAUUAGGGGGACAUGAUAGAUAAGGGCCAACGCCAAUGAGGAUAAUUUCGCCCGGACGCCGAGGUUAUACGCCUACUCUUUACGAGAAGUGUCCUGGGAUUUUUAAUGACCAUAGAGAGUCAGGACCUCGGUUUAACGUCUCGUCUGAAGACGUUCAGACGAGAUGCUGUUUCAAAGUAAUACAUUCUAGAACUGAUUGGAAACCGGACUUUUAAUUAUCAUGCAAAUCCGUGCAACCAACCACGAGUUACACCGGUUUGAGAAAACUAAGCUCCGCCCACAAGGGCUGGCAUGUGGCGGCCAUAUUGUUUAGAAAUCUCAACAGGGUUGUGAUCAUUAUUGACUUUCAGACUCUACUGAGUAAGUAUGAUACCAAAAUUUGUCAAGGUGCAUCAAAAAAGCGUAGGACUAGUUCACGACAGUAUUACGCAAAUGAACGAGGUUUUGAGUGAAAAUGUAAAGGAGAAAAAGAUUUCUAAAGUUUUUAGGACUGUACAAAGUGGAAAAUGUUAACAUUUCAGUAAGUGGCGGUUUUCCCAGACUGCAGCACAGUUUGUAUCGUCUCUCUUUCUCACCACGCUGUGUCCUCUCUCAGCAGCUGGAUCUCCAGCAGUUUUUUGGCAGAAGCUGUGAAAGAGGUCACUAACCUCAAUCUCUGCACAUCCCUCUCUCUCUCUCUCUCUCUCUCUCAUCGCAGCAUCUCUCUUCACUUUCCUCUGCUGUUUUCAGUUUCUUUCUCUUGACAUUCAGGUUAGAAUUAAUCAGCACAAAAAGUCCUGCACAGAAGAGGAGAAGCAUUAAAUCCAUCAAAGUCGACGCUACAAUAACAUCUUUCCUUAAAAAUAUACAUGAACAGGGACAAAUAGGAAAAAUAAAAAGGAGAGCUGCAAAGUCUGCAAAGUUGGGUGUGGAUUUAUGAUGCCGUCCUGUCGUUCGUGAUAUCAUUCUUGGGAAUUGGGAAUUCACGCUGAUAUUAAACUUAAACUCAAUCAGCUGUCAGUUGUGCAUUUUCAUGGCUGUUCUCCUGAGGAAACCCAUGAGGAAGUGUAUCUCACACAGAAGACUCCAACCUGACAGCGUGGAGAGGCUGAAGCUAUCGAUCUUUUCAUCCUACAGGCAAGAGCAGCGUUUCCUUUGUGCUGAAAGGGUUAAUACUCAUGAAUAUUCUGCACCAGGGCAAUAUGAGUGUGACUCUGGGCCAUGAAUUUUAGCCCCAAGAUAAGUGAUAAGGCCAGGGUUCAGCUGCACCACCUGGUCCCAAAUAAUGCAGUUAAAUAUUUUAUAUUCACUUACAUUUGUAAGCAACUCUUUGAAUAAUACAUUGUCGACUAAAAGCGACUCCUUGAGUGAUUCACUUACAUUUGUAAACUAGUCAAGUGAUUCACAAACAUCUAUAAAUGACUCUCUAAGUGAUUCACUUACAUUUGUAAGCAACUAUUUGAAUAAUUCAUUGUCAA
Ictalurus furcatus (blue catfish) is the source of this 1687-nucleotide long non-coding RNA. RefSeq lists it as uncharacterized. The record is from RefSeq and is a predicted model, not a curated record. NCBI's taxonomy places the organism in Eukaryota, Metazoa, Chordata, Actinopteri, Siluriformes, Ictaluridae. The transcript has 3 exons.